GACGAACGCUGGCGGCGUGCUUAACACAUGCAAGUCGAACGGAAAGGCCCUGCUUUUGUGGGGUGCUCGAGUGGCGAACGGGUGAGUAACACGUGAGUAACCUGCCCUUGACUUUGGGAUAACUUCAGGAAACUGGGGCUAAUACCGGAUAGGAGCUCCUGCUGCAUGGUGGGGGUUGGAAAGUUUCGGCGGUUGGGGAUGGACUCGCGGCUUAUCAGCUUGUUGGUGGGGUAGUGGCUUACCAAGGCUUUGACGGGUAGCCGGCCUGAGAGGGGGACCGGACACAUUGGGACUGAGAUACGGCCCAGACUCGUACGGGAGGCAGCAGUGGGGAAUAUUGCACAAUGGGCGGAAGCAUGAUGCAGCAACGCCGCGUGCGGGAUGACGGCCUUCGGGUUGUAAACCGCUUUCGCCUGUGACGAAGCGUGAGUGACGGUAAUGGGUAAAGAAGCACCGGCUAACUACGUG
Molecule: ribosomal RNA, 468 nt
Filed under: uncultured bacterium
Lineage: Bacteria
Description: partial 16S ribosomal RNA
Rfam family: Bacterial small subunit ribosomal RNA
Source: RNAcentral